GGUAGCGUGGCUGAGCGGUCUAAGGUUCUGGAUUUAGGCUCCAGUCUCUGGGGGUGAGUCGGUUCGAAUCCCACCGCUGCCA
RNAcentral lists this transfer RNA (82 nucleotides) under Loxodonta africana (African savanna elephant). It matches the Rfam family "tRNA". Rfam says of the family: Transfer RNA (tRNA) molecules are approximately 80 nucleotides in length. Their secondary structure includes four short double-helical elements and three loops (D, anti-codon, and T loops). The record is from Rfam by way of RNAcentral. Lineage: Eukaryota; Metazoa; Chordata; Mammalia; Proboscidea; Elephantidae.